Molecule: long non-coding RNA, 575 nt
Filed under: Aotus nancymaae (Ma's night monkey)
Lineage: Eukaryota; Metazoa; Chordata; Mammalia; Primates; Aotidae
Description: lncRNA (ENSANAG00000039289.1)
Source: RNAcentral
AAAAAAAAAAACAAAACAAAAACAAAAAAAAAAAAGGGAAAAAAACAAGACCAAAACUAAUAAUAAAUAGUAUAUACUAUUACGGUACUGGUUAAAAUACUUUAAAGUCCUUAUGAAAAUUCAUAUUUUUCCUAAAUUUCUACUAGGUAAUUGAUCUGGGUGGUGAGCCAAUUACAAGCAGUCAGUACUUUGGAAAUGGCCGGGCGACAGAAUUCAAGUAUGGUGCAAAACUCGGCACAGUUAUUCGCAAGUGGGAUGGAGAGAAGAUGUUCAAAAAUAGGAACUGGGGAGAAGGUUGGGGUUUCAUGCCUUCUGACAGAGCACUUGUCUUUGUGGAUAACCAUGACAAUCAACGAGGACAUGGGGCCGGAGGAGCUUCUAUUCUUACCUUCUGGGACGCUAGGCUGUAUAAAAUGGCAGUUGGAUUUAUGCUGGCUCAUCCUUAUGGAUUUACACGAGUGAUGUCAAGCUACCAUUGGGCAAGACAUUCUGAAAAUGGAAAAAUAAGUUUUGGAGUUAUUCAAAAUAUCAUGUUUUCAAGAAAAAGGAGGAUAUUCUGUCCUAAGUUAAUAUGA